Scophthalmus maximus (turbot) is the source of this 119-nucleotide ribosomal RNA. Lineage: Eukaryota; Metazoa; Chordata; Actinopteri; Pleuronectiformes; Scophthalmidae. The record is from Ensembl.
GCUUACGGGCACACCGCCUGGUUCAUGCCCGAUCUCGUUUGAUCUCGGAAGCUAAGAUAGGUUGGGCCUGGUUAGUACUUGGAUGGGAGACCGCCUGGGAAUACCAGGUGCUGUAAGGC